This 653-nucleotide ribosomal RNA is filed under the name endosymbiont of Sphenophorus levis. Its description in RNAcentral is "bacterial SSU rRNA". It matches the Rfam family "Bacterial small subunit ribosomal RNA", at positions 359 to 1002 of the family's 1533-position model. The record is from RNAcentral. Lineage: Bacteria; Pseudomonadati; Pseudomonadota; Gammaproteobacteria.
GGGGAUUGGACAUGGGGGCACCCUGCAUCCAGCAAUGCCGCGUGUGUGAAGAAGGCCUUCGGGUUGUAAAGCACUUUUGUCCGGAAAGAAAACGCCGUGGUUAAUACCCGUGGCGGAUGACGGUACCGGAAGAAUAAGCACCGGCUAACUACGUGCCAGCAGCCGCGGUAAUACGUAGGGUGCAAGCGUUAAUCGGAAUUACUGGGCGUAAAGCGUGCGCAGGCGGUCCGCUAAGACAGAUGUGAAAUCCCCGGGCUUAACCUGGGAACUGCAUUUGUGACUGGCGGGCUAGAGUAUGGCAGAGGGGGGUAGAAUUCCACGUGUAGCAGUGAAAUGCGUAGAGAUGUGGAGGAAUACCGAUGGCGAAGGCAGCCCCCUGGGCCAAUACUGACGCUCAUGCACGAAAGCGUGGGGAGCAAACAGGAUUAGAUACCCUGGUAGUCCACGCCCUAAACGAUGUCAACUAGUUGUCGGGUCUUCAUUGACUUGGUAACGUAGCUAACGCGUGAAGUUGACCGCCUGGGGAGUACGGUCGCACAGAUUAAAACUCAAAGGAAUUGACGGGGACCCGACAAGGCGGUGGAUGAUGUGGAUUUAAUUUCGAUGCAAACGCGAAAAACUUACCUACCCCUUGACAUGUAUGGGAUCCCUGC